This 761-nucleotide ribosomal RNA is filed under the name Micrococcus luteus. RNAcentral describes it as "bacterial SSU rRNA". It matches the Rfam family "Bacterial small subunit ribosomal RNA", at positions 70 to 840 of the family's 1533-position model. Lineage: Bacteria; Bacillati; Actinomycetota; Actinomycetes; Micrococcales; Micrococcaceae. The record is from RNAcentral.
AAGCCCAGCUUUGCUGGGUGGAUUAUGUGGCGAACGGGUGAGUAACACGUGAGUAACCUGCCCUUAACUCUGGGAUAAGCCUGGGAAACUGGGUCUAAUACCGGAUAGGAGCGUCCACCGCAUGGUGGGUGUUGGAAAGAUUUAUCGGUUUUGGAUGGACUCGCGGCCUAUCAGCUUGUUGGUGAGGUAAUGGCUCACCAAGGCGACGACGGGUAGCCGGCCUGAGAGGGUGACCGGCCACACUGGGACUGAGACACGGCCCAGACUCCUACGGGAGGCAGCAGUGGGGAAUAUUGCACAAUGGGCGAAAGCCUGAUGCAGCGACGCCGCGUGAGGGAUGACGGCCUUCGGGUUGUAAACCUCUUUCAGUAGGGAAGAAGCGAAAGUGACGGUACCUACAGAAGAAGCACCGGCUAACUACGUGCCAGCAGCCGCGGUAAUACGUAGGGUGCGAGCGUUAUCCGGAAUUAUUGGGCGUAAAGAGCUCGUAGGCGGUUUGUCGCGUCUGUCGUGAAAGUCCGGGGCUUAACCCCGGAUCUGCGGUGGGUACGGGCAGACUAGAGUGCAGUAGGGGAGACUGGAAUUCCUGGUGUAGCGGUGGAAUGCGCAGAUAUCAGGAGGAACACCGAUGGCGAAGGCAGGUCUCUGGGCUGUAACUGACGCUGANGGAGCGAAAGCAUGGGGAGCGAACAGGAUUAGAUACCCUGGUAGUCCAUGCCGUAAACGUUGGGCACUAGGUGUGGGGNACCAUUCCACGGUUU